GCUGGCUCAUUACGUCACGUGAUUGACACGUGAACUGCGUUGACACAGUCCAGGCUUCUAAUUGACACACCGGCUGCGUUGACACAGUCCAGGCUGCUAAUUGACACAUCGACUGUGUUGACACAGUCCAGGCUGCUAAUUGACACAUCGGCUGCGUUGACACAGUCCAGGCUGCUAAUUGACACGUGAACUGCACCUGCAUCGGCUGCUUGGCACAGUACAGGCUGCGCCACUUAGUCCAGGGGGCGUCGACUCAGUGCAGAGGGCGUUGACGCAGCAAAAGCCCGCCACACAGUGUUUAUAAGGAACACCUGCCGAAACAAGCCAGACCUCACUCACGCUCGCUUGUCGAAGCUUGUGUCAGUGCAGACUUCGUGUUCGUGCCUUGCCUUCCUUGCCGACUAUGGAGCAGAGACGCAAAUCAUCCGCCGUGUGGGACCAUUUUGAUGUCCUGGAGAAUAAGGUGAAAUGUCGAAUUUGCCAAGUCAAUUCGCCAACAGAAGCACCUCCACCAUGCUGAGGCAUUAUCGGGCCAAGCAUGAGAAUGAAGUUCGCGAUACACCCGGUAUUACGCCAGGUUCCAGGAAGCAGCUGUACUGGAAGGACCAACACACUUCUUUCCCAAACCUCUCCCACCUCGCAAAGGAGUUCCUUUGUACGCCAGCCUCAUCCGUCCCUUGUGAGCGUGUGUUCUUCACAGCAGGAGAAAUUGCUUGUAAAAGACGCAACAGGCUGAAGUUUAAAACAUUGGAGCAUCUUAUUUUUCUCAAUAAAAAUGUGAAAUCAAAGCCCACAAGCAUCCUCAUUCAAAUGAUCUUCACAUUAUUUGAACACAUUGAAUGUUGCAAAAUGAAUGCAUGGAUGUGAAUGAUAUUGUAUACACUUCAUCAUCAAAUCGAUGAAUGACCUUAUGAAAAUGUCUUGGAACAGUUGUAGAUGCAAAACCGUGCUGGCAGCUACAUAAUAGAUAAUAUCCCAAACCAUAGGGAUCCUCCCAAAAACUAAGGAUGUGCUAAAUAAGAGAUCCUUGUACACAUACUUUUAUUACUUCCAUAUUUGACCUAUUGUGUGGAAAUAUGGGGAAAUGCCAGUAAAACACUGUUUUAAAACUACAAUACAAAGCAAUCAGAACAAUCACUGGCUCCAAAUAGACGGAACCCACAAAUCCACUGUUUAUCAAAUUUAACAAUGAAAUCUCAUGACCUGGUUGACUUCAAAAUCGCCCAAUUAAUGU
Molecule: long non-coding RNA, 1234 nt
Organism: Hippocampus zosterae (dwarf seahorse)
Lineage: Eukaryota; Metazoa; Chordata; Actinopteri; Syngnathiformes; Syngnathidae
Exons: 3
Source: RefSeq, a predicted model, not a curated record